Long non-coding RNA from Etheostoma cragini (Arkansas darter), 87 nucleotides. RefSeq lists it as uncharacterized. The transcript is spliced from 3 exons. Lineage: Eukaryota; Metazoa; Chordata; Actinopteri; Perciformes; Percidae. The record is from RefSeq and is a predicted model, not a curated record.
AGAAAAAGUCCCAAACAUAUAAAAAAUCCACAAAGCCUGAUGCACAUUGGACAAGGCUAGGUGCAAGCUGCUAAAACUAAAACAUUA